UACGUAGGGUGCGAGCGUUAAUCGGAAUUACUGGGCGUAAAGCGUGCGCAGGCGGUUUUGUAAGUGGGGUGUGAAAUCUCGGGGCUUAACUCCGAAACUGCAUUCGAUACUGCCGUGCUUGAGGACUGGAGAGGAGACUGGAAUUUACGGUGUAGCGGUGAAAUGCGUAGAUAUCGUAAGGAAGACCAGUGGCGAAGGCGGGUCUCUGGACAGUUCCUGACGCUGAGGCACGAAGGUCAGGGGAGCAAACGGG
RNAcentral lists this ribosomal RNA (253 nucleotides) under uncultured bacterium. RNAcentral's name for it is "partial 16S ribosomal RNA". It matches the Rfam family "Bacterial small subunit ribosomal RNA", at positions 524 to 776 of the family's 1533-position model. The record is from RNAcentral.